CCUUUGUAAAGUGCCUUCGAAGAGUCGAGUUGUUUGGGAAUGCAGCUCUAAGUGGGUGGUAAAUUCCAUCUAAAGCUAAAUAUUGGCGAGAGACCGAUAGCGAACAAGUACAGUGAUGGAAAGAUGAAAAGAACUUUGAAAAGAGAGUGAAAAAGUACGUGAAAUUGUUGAAAGGGAAGGGCAUUUG
This 187-nucleotide ribosomal RNA is filed under the name Saccharomyces cerevisiae (brewer's yeast). Its description in RNAcentral is "partial large subunit ribosomal RNA". It matches the Rfam family "Eukaryotic large subunit ribosomal RNA", at positions 241 to 427 of the family's 3401-position model. The record is from RNAcentral. Lineage: Eukaryota; Fungi; Ascomycota; Saccharomycetes; Saccharomycetales; Saccharomycetaceae.